This 321-nucleotide ribosomal RNA is filed under the name uncultured Lactobacillus sp. RNAcentral's name for it is "partial 16S ribosomal RNA". It matches the Rfam family "Bacterial small subunit ribosomal RNA", at positions 77 to 529 of the family's 1533-position model. Lineage: Bacteria; Bacillati; Bacillota; Bacilli; Lactobacillales; Lactobacillaceae. The record is from RNAcentral.
GUUUAUACCGGGGGGGCGGUAAGCGGGAGAGUACUCCAGACACCAUUCUCACUUGCUUUUAAAAAAAAUAAUAACCCCUUUUUACUUCUCCAUCGACUUCUCCAUGUGAAGAUUCCCUUUACUCCUACGGGAGGCAGCAGUAGGGAAUCUUCCACAAUGGACGAAAGUCUGAUGGAGCAACGCCGCGUGAGUGAAGAAGGUUUUCGGAUCGUAAAACUCUGUUGUGAAGAAGAACACGUCUGAGAGUAACUGUUCAGACGUUGACGGUAUUCAACCAGAAAGCCACGGCUAACUACGUGCCAGCAGCCGCGGUAAUACAAA